AAUCAACGCUGGCGGCGUGCCUAACACAUGCAAGUCGAACGUGAAAGCCCCGCAAGGGGUGAGUAGAGUGGCGCACGGGUGAGUAACACGUGGAUAACCUGCCUUUGAGUGGGGAAUAAC
Molecule: ribosomal RNA, 120 nt
Filed under: uncultured bacterium
Lineage: Bacteria
Description: partial 16S ribosomal RNA
Rfam family: Bacterial small subunit ribosomal RNA
Source: RNAcentral